GUGUUCGUUUUGGCAGCACAUAUACUAAAAUUGGAACGAUACAAAGGAGAUCAGCAUGGCCCCUGCGUGAGGAUGACACACAAUUUGUGAAGCGUUCCAUAUUUCU
This is a small nuclear RNA of Leptonychotes weddellii (Weddell seal), 106 nucleotides long. The record is from RefSeq and is a predicted model, not a curated record. NCBI's taxonomy places the organism in Eukaryota, Metazoa, Chordata, Mammalia, Carnivora, Phocidae.